RNAcentral lists this ribosomal RNA (491 nucleotides) under uncultured bacterium. Its description in RNAcentral is "partial 16S ribosomal RNA". It matches the Rfam family "Bacterial small subunit ribosomal RNA", at positions 29 to 506 of the family's 1533-position model. The record is from RNAcentral.
AGUGAACGCUGGCGGUAGGCCUAACACAUGCAAGUCGAACGGCAGCACAGUAAGAGCUUGCUCUUACGGGUGGCGAGUGGCGGACGGGUGAGGAAUACAUCGGAAUCUACUUUUUCGUGGGGGAUAACGUAGGGAAACUUACGCUAAUACCGCAUACGACCUACGGGUGAAAGCAGGGGAUCUUCGGACCUUGCGCGAUUGAAUGAGCCGAUGUCGGAUUAGCUAGUUGGCGGGGUAAAGGCCCACCAAGGCGACGAUCCGUAGCUGGUCUGAGAGGAUGAUCAGCCACACUGGAACUGAGACACGGGCCAGACUCCUACGGGAGGCAGCAGUGGGGAAUAUUGGACAAUGGGCGCGAGCCUGAUCCAGCCAUACCGCGUGGGUGAAGAAGGCCUUCGGGUUGUAAAGCCCUUUUGUUGGGAAAGAAAAGCAGCAGGUUAAUACCCCGCUGUUCUGACGGUACCCAAAGAAUAAGCACCGGCUAACUUCGU